AGAGUUUGAUCCUGGCUCAGGAUGAACGCUAGCUACAGGCUUAACACAUGCAAGUCGAGGGGCAGCAUGGUCUUAGCUUGCUAAGACUGAUGGCGACCGGCGCACGGGUGAGAAACACGUAUCCAACCUGCCGUCUACUCUUGGACAGCCUUCUGAAAGGAAGAUUAAUACAAGAUGGCAUCAUGAGUCCGCAUGUUCACAUGAUUAAAGGUAUUCCGGUAGACGAUGGGGAUGCGUUCCAUUAGAUAGUAGGCGGGGUAACGGCCCACCUAGUCUUCGAUGGAUAGGGGUUCUGAGAGGAAGGUCCCCCACAUUGGAACUGAGACACGGUCCAAACUCCUACGGGAGGCAGCAGUGAGGAAUAUUGGUCAAUGGGCGAGAGCCUGAACCAGCCAAGUAGCGUGAAGGGUGACUGCCCUAUGGGUUGUAAACUUCUUUUAUAAAGGAAUAAAGUCGGGUAUGCAUACCCGUUUGCAUGUACUUUAUGAAUAAGGAUCGGCUAACUCCGUGCCAGCAGCCGCGGUAAUACGGAGGAUCCGAGCGUUAUCCGGAUUUAUUGGGUUUAAAGGGAGCGUAGAUGGAUGUUUAAGUCAGUUGUGAAAGUUUGCGGCUCAACCGUAAAAUUGCAGUUGAUACUGGAUAUCUUGAGUGCAGUUGAGGCAGGCGGAAUUCGUGGUGUAGCGGUGAAAUGCUUAGAUAUCACGAAGAACUCCGAUUGCGAAGGCAGCCUGCUAAGCUGCAACUGACAUUGAGGCUCGAAGGUGUGGGUAUCAAACAGGAUUAGAUACCCUGGUAGUCCACACGGUAAACGAUGAAUACUCGCUGUUUGCGAUAUACGGCAAGCGGCCAAGCGAAAGCGUUAAGUAUUCCACCUGGGGAGUACGCCGGCAACGGUGAAACUCAAAGGAAUUGACGGGGGCCCGCACAAGCGGAGGAACAUGUGGUUUAAUUCGAUGAUACGCGAGGAACCUUACCCGGGCUUAAAUUGCAGAUGAAUUACGGUGAAAGCCGUAAGCCGCAAGGCAUCUGUGAAGGUGCUGCAUGGUUGUCGUCAGCUCGUGCCGUGAGGUGUCGGCUUAAGUGCCAUAACGAGCGCAACCCUUGUUGUCAGUUACUAACAGGUUCUGCUGAGGACUCUGACAAGACUGCCAUCGUAAGAUGUGAGGAAGGUGGGGAUGACGUCGAAUCAGCACGGCCCUUACGUCCGGGGCUACACACGCGUUACAAUGGGGGGUACAGAGGGCCGCUACCACGCGAGUGGAUGCCAAUCCCCAAAACCUCUCUCAGUUCGGACUGGAGUCUGCAACCCGACUCCACGAAGCUGGAUUCGCUAGUAAUCGCGCAUCAGCCACGGCGCGGUGAAUACGUUCCCGGGCCUUGUACACACCGCCCGUCAAGCCAUGGGAGCCGGGGGUACCUGAAGUGCGUAACCGCGAGGAGCGCCCUAGGGUAAAACUGGUGACUGGGGCUAAGUCGUAACAAGGUA
This 1486-nucleotide ribosomal RNA is filed under the name metagenome. RNAcentral's name for it is "bacterial SSU rRNA". It matches the Rfam family "Bacterial small subunit ribosomal RNA". The record is from RNAcentral.